This 376-nucleotide ribosomal RNA is filed under the name uncultured bacterium. RNAcentral's name for it is "bacterial SSU rRNA". It matches the Rfam family "Bacterial small subunit ribosomal RNA", at positions 30 to 408 of the family's 1533-position model. The record is from RNAcentral.
AUUGAACGCUGGCGGCAUGCCUUACACAUGCAAGUCGAACGGCAGCACGGGAGCAAUCCUGGUGGCGAGUGGCGAACGGGUGAGUAAUAUAUCGGAACGUGCCCAGUCGUGGGGAUAACGUAGCGAAAGCUACGCUAAUACCGCAUACGAUCUAUGGAUGAAAGCGGGGGAUCGCAAGACCUCGCGCGAUUGGAGCGGCCGAUAUCAGAUUAGGUAGUUGGUGAGGUAAAGGCUCACCAAGCCGACGAUCUGUAGCUGGUCUGAGAGGACGACCAGCCACACUGGGACUGAGACACGGCCCAGACUCCUACGGAGGCAGCAGUGGGGAAUUUUGGACAAUGGGCGCAAGCCUGAUCCAGCAAUGCCGCGUGCAGGA